CAAGGUCCUUGCUCUCAGGGAGCUUACAUUCUAUUUGGCAGAGACUGACAAUAAGAAAAUAAACAAGCAAUAAAAGGUAACAGUGAGUGAUCAGUGCUAUGCAGAGAAACGAAAUACAGUGAUGUGACACUCAGUGCACAGGUACCUAUCUCAGAUAGUGUAGUCCCAGGAGGCCUCUCUGUGGAGGCAACGUUUAGGCUGAGACCGGAAAGUCAAGAAAAAGUCAGAUCCUGAAUUACAGGGUUGAACAGCUCCAGGAAGAGGGAGCUACAAUAAAAAGGCUCUAAGAGCGAUCACACUUGGCAUGUUUAAGGAAGAAACAGAAAGCAAGGGAGAUAUUGAAUUUAAUCAUCACUGCAUUUUUCAUGACUAUAGUUCCCAUCUGGAAAUGCAAAUUUACAAAUUAAAACAUCAAUAACAUUCUUUCCUAGGAUAACUGAGGAUCUCUCUGCCACAGACUUAAUGCUCCUGUGCAUAAAAGUCCAACAGAAAAUUUUAAGUACCUGUUUAAAGCAAUUUACAAGAUACUGUGGAGAUUCCCAGCAAUAAAGAAUGUACUAUAGUUAAGCUGGAAUCCAACUCCUGAAUUUCUGGAGCCCUGAAGACCACUUAGUCUUACUCACAAGAAUUGAAUGGAAUGUGAAUCUACACUCAGGUGAAGCCAGGGUAUUUUGAACGUCCCUACAAGACUGAAGCACCACUGGGAAAUAAGUAAUAGAGAUGCCAUCAUUGUGGAGGUCAUAAUGCUUGUCCUGAACACGAGGGGUCUCUAGUGAGGCACCAAUUCAGCUCCUCUUCUGUGGAGAGACUACAUGGGUGCUGAAGAAACAAAGACACAACGCAGCUCCUCUCAAAGGAGUUCAGAGCUUAGCAGGGGAGACAGAACCAUGAAUGCAUAGUUACGCAUCAAUGUGCUGCACGAGCACUGAAGCCCAAGCACAAGCGGCCUGAGUCCCAAAAACAUUUGCUGACUGCUGUUCUAUCUAGGAUAUCAUCAGUGUGUAGAUGAUCAGAGUUCAUGUCAGUGUUCCUACAAGCCAAUGAAGGUUCUGAGGAGGCAGGACCAAGAAAUGGAUGUUGAUGUUUAGGAGACUGUAUGUAAUAUGUAAAUAAAAUGAAAAACAGAGAUCUGUGUUCUGAAUGGAAAAAUUCCUACUGAUGCCACCCACUAGUCUGGAACAAGUCAGUCUCAAACAUAACAACAGACACUGGGGAGCUCUCCAACAAAAGAUCACCUCCCAAAGAACAGGAUGGUGUCGAAGACUGAAUGCCAGCCUGAGGAAACAGAAAUACUACAGAAGCACGCCAGAGCCUGCAGUGUCUCCUCGCUGCCUCUCAAUGAACUGCUAAAAGACCAAGAACUCUGCUGAGAGAUAAGAAGAGGGGAGGGUGUGCUGCAGGUGGUGCUGGGAGGCCCAGACCUUCUCCUGACAUCUGGGGCUGGCUACAGGAAACAGAAACAUCACCCAGGCCUUGGCGCGAGACAGGACAGAGGCAGAUUGUGACUCAGAUCUGCAGGUGGAAAGUGGGCCUUUCGUUUUCUCCUAGGGGUAGAGCAAAGCCAGAGGGCUCAGUCAGAGGAAACCUAAGGCAGUUCAUGAUCCCUUCAACUUUAUACCAUUUCCUCAAAACUGCCUCCAAACAGUGGGCAACUGGAAAGGUGGUCUGACCUCCAGUGAUCACACAGUAUGCAUUAUAACAGAAGGCUGUCACUGUCAAUUGCAUGGCUCCCUCACUAUGCAUUCCUUCUAUCAAUUUACGACAACACACUGUAGUGAGUACCUGCACAUUGCUGGGUAUUUUGGCAGACAUUGAUAGUAGAUGAAUAACACCUGGUACUUGACCUUGAGACGCUCACUGCCUAGUGUGGGGAACCAAUGGUUGCAAUAUAAAGUAUUAACUAGAGGGAUAGAGGACUGCCUGAGGAUCUCUGCACUCAGAGGAAGGGCCAUGAGAUCAGCCAGGACAGUAGGGAGGCAGUGACUCAUGAAAUUAGCAAGUGGUGAGAAGAGGGCAGUAGAUUCAGCGGCUGCUAAAAAAGGUUACUGAACUUUUUGUUUCAUCAAUGCCAAGAAAUUAAUCUGUUUUAGCCUCUUUCAUGGCCUCUGUUUGAAAUUUUUUAACUUUUUUUUUUUUUUUAGAUUUAGGGGUACAAGGACAGUUGUAUUGCAUGAGUAUAUCAUAUAGUGGUGAAGCCUGGGCUUUAAGUGCACCUAUCACCCGAAUAGCGUACAUUGUACCCACUAGGUAGUAUUUCAUUUCUCACCCUUCUUCCACCUUUUGGAAUCUCCAGUGUUUGUUGUUCUACUCUGUAUGCCCAUGUGUACUCAUUGUUUCACUCCCACUUAUAAGUGAGAACAUGUGCUUUUGACUUUCUGUUUCUGAGUUGUUUCACUUAGGAUAAUGCAUGUUCCUGUUUUGAUUCAGUCAAAAUCCUGGGGUCAGCACUGACAAUGUGAUUAACCCCUGUCCUAAAUUCACUGCAGAGGAACUGCUCCCAUAUGACUACUUAUUACCACCCAAGCCAGAAACCACAAAGAUAUUCUGACCUCUCCUCCUUCACUCCCCACCAACUGGUGAGUAAGCUAGUCACCAAGUCUUGAUUCUACUUGCAAACAUCUUUGGAAGGGAUCUCUCACUCCACACAGUCUCUGUCAUUGCCAAGUAUACCCAUUACCUCUGCUCUGUCCUACGGCUCAUCAUUCCUCAUCUACAUGCUGCACCAACCUCCUAACUCCCAUUCCUCCCCCUCCUAGUUCACUGCCAUAGCGUAAUCUUUCUAUAUCACGGAUCAUAUUGUGUCCGAAAUUGGUGGGUUCUUGGCCUCACUUACUUCAAGAAUGAAGCUGCAGACCCUCGUGGUGAGCGUUACAGUUCUUAAAGGUGAUGUGUCUGGAGUUUGUUCCUUCUGAUCAUGUUCGGAGUUUCUUCCUUCUGGUGGGUUCGUGGUCUCGUUGGCUUCAAGAGUGAAGCUGCAAACCUUCAAGGUGAGUGUUACAGCUCUUAAGGCAGCGCAUCUGGAGUUGUUUCUUCCUCC
Molecule: long non-coding RNA, 3037 nt
Filed under: Homo sapiens (human)
Lineage: Eukaryota; Metazoa; Chordata; Mammalia; Primates; Hominidae
Description: HSALNT0251511
Source: RNAcentral